This is a long non-coding RNA of Nelumbo nucifera (sacred lotus), 672 nucleotides long. RefSeq lists it as uncharacterized. The record is from RefSeq and is a predicted model, not a curated record. Lineage: Eukaryota; Viridiplantae; Streptophyta; Magnoliopsida; Proteales; Nelumbonaceae.
UCGUCGGUCGAAGUAAAUAGGUAUUGUGGUUGCAUCGGUUUUGAUUUUUUUUCUCCAAAACCCUCGAAGAAAAAUAGAGACAGAAGAGAACGGCGAGCGACUCUGAACUGCGAGCCAAAGGUAGCUGCGAGCGACUGUGUAGAAACGGUGUAGAUAGAGGAGAAACGGAGUAAAAACGGAGUAGAACGACUCUGAACUGCCUUCGUUUUCAUAGAGGUCGUGUUCCAUCCAUUUUUCCAUUUGUUGGAUUUUCUGUUUUAAGAGAGAGUCCUAACCUCUUUAUUUCUGGUGGGAGGUACUUGUCAUAGAAGUUCGGCCAAGCUUGCUGUCUGGGAAAACAGAAAGGUUUCCUCUGGAUGAUGUCUUCCGGAUUGAUUUACCGAAGGAAAUUGGCUGCAUAGAUGCUGAUCUUGUAAUUCAGAUCAAGGAACGUGUUGCAUGUGAAAUGAAUUCUGGGGAAGAGUUGAUAUGCACAAAUGUUUGUUUGAGAACCAACUGGAUGAUCUGGAACCAGAUCAAGCUAUAGCUCUUAUGUCUGCCCUUGUAUUUCAACAGAAGAACCAGAAGAAGUUGAGCCUACUCUUACUUUCAAAACUGCACUCAGCAAGAGAUUUGCUAGAUUCUGUAAUUUCAAAAAGAAGUCUCUAACAAAAGGAUUUUUGUUAUUUUUUA